GCCAGAGAUGGCUUGGUGCCCGAAAGGGAAUCGGAACACAGGUGCUGCAUGGCUGUCGUCAGCUCGUGUCGUGAGAUGUUGGGUUAAGUCCCGCAACGAGCGCAACCCUUAUCAUUAGUUGCUACGCAAGGGCACUCUAAUGAGACUGCCGGUGACAAACCGGAGGAAGUGGGGAUGACGUCAAGUCCUCAUGGCCCUUAUGGGUAGGGCUUCACACGUCAUACAAUGGUCGGUACAGAGGGUUGCCAAGCCGCGAGGCGGAGCCAAUCCCACAAAGCCGAUCGUAGUCCGGAUUGUUCUCUGCAACUCGAGAGCAUGAAGUCGGAAUCGCUAGUAAUCGCAGGUCAGCAUACUGCGGUGAAUACGUUCCCGGGUCUU
RNAcentral lists this ribosomal RNA (378 nucleotides) under uncultured Thiobacillus sp. RNAcentral's name for it is "bacterial SSU rRNA". It matches the Rfam family "Bacterial small subunit ribosomal RNA", at positions 999 to 1382 of the family's 1533-position model. Lineage: Bacteria; Pseudomonadati; Pseudomonadota; Betaproteobacteria; Nitrosomonadales; Thiobacillaceae. The record is from RNAcentral.